RNAcentral lists this ribosomal RNA (253 nucleotides) under uncultured bacterium. RNAcentral describes it as "partial 16S ribosomal RNA". It matches the Rfam family "Bacterial small subunit ribosomal RNA", at positions 524 to 776 of the family's 1533-position model. The record is from RNAcentral.
UACGUAGGGACCGAGCGUUGUCCGGAAUCAUUGGGCGUAAAGAGCGUGUAGGCGGCUAUUUAAGUCCUGCGUGAAAUCCUGCGGCUCAACCGCAGACGGUCGUGGGAAACUGGAUGGCUAGAGUGCGGGAGAGGAGAGUGGAAUUCCCGGUGUAGCGGUGAAAUGCGCAGAUAUUGGGAAGAACACCAGUGGCGAAGGCGGUUCUCUGGGACGGUACUGACGCUGAGACGCGAAAGCGUGGGGAGCGAACAGG